UACGAAGGGUGCUAGCGUUGUUCGGAAUUACUGGGCGUAAAGCGUGCGUAGGCGGUUUAGCAAGUCGAUUGUGAAAGCCCAGGGCUCAACCCUGGAAUUGCAACCGAAACUACUUUACUAGAGUGUAGUGGGGGAUAGUAGAAUUCCUAGUGUAGGGGUGAAAUCCGUAGAUAUUAGGAGGAAUACCAGUGGCGAAGGCGACUAUCUACACUAUUACUGACGCUGAGGCACGAAAGCGUGGGGAGCAAACAGG
RNAcentral lists this ribosomal RNA (253 nucleotides) under uncultured bacterium. RNAcentral's name for it is "partial 16S ribosomal RNA". It matches the Rfam family "Bacterial small subunit ribosomal RNA", at positions 524 to 776 of the family's 1533-position model. The record is from RNAcentral.